UACGUAGGGGGCAAGCGUUGUCCGGAAUUACUGGGCGUAAAGCGCACGUAGGCGGCUUUGUAAGUUAGAGGUGAAAGCCCGGGGCUCAACUCCGGAAUUGCCUUUAAGACUGCAUCGCUAGAAUUGUGGAGAGGUAAGUGGAAUUCCGAGUGUAGAGGUGAAAUUCGUAGAUAUUCGGAAGAACACCAGUGGCGAAGGCGACUUACUGGACACAUAUUGACGCUGAGGUGCGAAAGCGUGGGGAGCAAACAGG
Molecule: ribosomal RNA, 253 nt
Filed under: uncultured bacterium
Lineage: Bacteria
Description: partial 16S ribosomal RNA
Rfam family: Bacterial small subunit ribosomal RNA
Source: RNAcentral